AAUCCAUAGGUUAAUGAGGCGAACCGGGGGAACUGAAACAUCUAAGUACCCCGAGGAAAAGAAAUCAACCGAGAUUCCCCCAGUAGCGGCGAGCGAACGGGGAGGAGCCCAGAGCCUGAAUCAGCAUGUGUGUUAGUGGAAGCGUCUGGAAAGGCGCGCGAUACAGGGUGACAGCCCCGUACACAAAAGCGCAUGUGCUGUGAGCUCGAUGAGUAGGGCGGGACACGUGGUAUCCUGUCUGAAUAUGGGGGGACCAUCCUCCAAGGCUAAAUACUCCUGACUGACCGAUAGUGAACCAGUACCGUGAGGGAAAGGCGAAAAGAACCCCGGCGAGGGGAGUGAAAAAGAACCUGAAACCGUGUACGUACAAGCAGUGGGAGCCCCACCACCAAAGCAUUCUCUGGUGUUGAAGGCCCUGCAAAGCAGCAUCGCGGUGGCGGAGCGUCGUUUGCGACGCCCAACACACAAAACAAGCGGUGAAUGCUUUGGGGUGGGGUGACUGCGUACCUUUUGUAUAAUGGGUCAGCGACUUAUAUUCUGUAGCAAGGUUAACCGAAUAGGGGAGCCGGAGGGAAACCGAGUCUUAAUUGGGCGUUAAGUUGCAGGGUAUAGACCCGAAACCCGGUGAUCUAGCCAUGGGCAGGUUGAAGGUUGGGUAACACUAACUGGAGGACCGAACCGACUAAUGUUGAAAAAUUAGCGGAUGACCUGUGGCUGGGGGUGAAAGGCCAAUCAAACCGGGAGAUAGCUGGUUCUCCCCGAAAGCUAUUUAGGUAGCGCCUCGUGAAUUCAUCUCCGGGGGUAGAGCACUGUUUCGGCUAGGGGGCCAUCCCGGCUUACCAACCCGAUGCAAACUGCGAAUACCGGAGAAUGUUAUCACGGGAGACACACGGCGGGUGCUAACGUCCGUCGUGAAGAGGGAAACAACCCAGACCGCCAGCUAAGGUCCCAAAGUCAUGGUUAAGUGGGAAACGAUGUGGGAAGGCCCAGACAGCCAGGAUGUUGGCUUAGAAGCAGCCAUCAUUUAAAGAAAGCGUAAUAGCUCACUGGUCGAGUCGGCCUGCGCGGAAGAUGUAACGGGGCUAAACCAUGCACCGAAGCUGCGGCAGCGAACGUAUCACCCAAGACAACUUUACGGAGUUGACGAUUGACGGAGCGAAGCGACGUCAAAGCGUUCAUUAA
Molecule: ribosomal RNA, 1182 nt
Filed under: Salmonella enterica subsp. enterica serovar Typhimurium
Lineage: Bacteria; Pseudomonadati; Pseudomonadota; Gammaproteobacteria; Enterobacterales; Enterobacteriaceae
Description: partial 23S ribosomal RNA
Rfam family: Bacterial large subunit ribosomal RNA
Source: RNAcentral